AAGCCAUUUUAAAAGUGGCAGGAUUCAAGGUCAAAGACAUUUUUAAAGUGACAUCGUCCUGUUUGAUCAGCACCAGCUGACCUUGGGCUAACCUGCUAGGAGAGAUCCAGUGGUGCCCCUUUUGUUCAAGUACAGCUAUCACUGCAUGUGGUACAAAAACUGUGAUAAGGCUGCCCCAAGGUUAAUUUCUGGGCUUCUUUAACUAACAGCACCACUGCAACCACAGCUCUCAAACAUGCAGGCCAUCCUUUGCUUACUUCGUCUCGCUGCUUGGAGAAGUAAGCUACCAGUCUUUUCCAGUCUCCCAGAGUUUGAGUCAGGACUCCCAAUGCUACAUGUUGCCUCUCAUGCACAUAUAACGUAAAGGGUUUGCUUAAGUCUGGCAGACCCAGAGCAGGGGCUCUCAUUAGUUCAGGUUUAAUGGACUCGAAUCCUUUCCGGCACUCUGGUGUCCAUUCCAAAGUUUCUCCAGGCCCCUUCAUAGCCACGUAUAAUGGUUUGGCAAUCGGGCUGAAAUUUGGUAUCCAGAGUCUACAGCAUUCCAGCCGUUACCAAGAACCCUUGUCGUUCUCUCUUAGACCGGGGCGGGGGAGCUAUUUGACAAAUAGCUGCUUUUCUUUCUGCGCUUAGUUCCCUCUUUCCCUGAGAUAGCUCAAAUCCCAAGUAAGUUACAGUGGUCUGUAUUAUUUGAGCCUUUUUCUGAGAUACUCGAUAUCCAGCCAUUCCCAAGAAAUUUCAGCAACUCUGUAGUUGCAAUUUUACAUUCUUGUUCAGUCUUUGCCCCAAGUAGGGAGUCAUCUACAUGCUGUAGGAAAGUAAUGGAAAGAUUCUUACCUUGCCAAUUUUCCAGUUCCUUGGCAAGUACGUUACCAAACAGUGUCGGGCUAUUCUUGAAUCCUGGUGGCAGCACGGUCCAGCAGAGUUGUAUUUUCCUCCCUGUGGUAGGACUCUCCCACUCAAAGGCGAGUAUCUUCUGGCUUUCUUCUUCCAAGGGGAUGCAAAAGAAAGCAUCUUUUGGAUCUAACACUGUAAAAUACACACUAU
Molecule: long non-coding RNA, 1044 nt
Organism: Aquila chrysaetos chrysaetos
Lineage: Eukaryota; Metazoa; Chordata; Aves; Accipitriformes; Accipitridae
Exons: 3
Source: RefSeq, a predicted model, not a curated record